Molecule: long non-coding RNA, 1468 nt
Filed under: Homo sapiens (human)
Lineage: Eukaryota; Metazoa; Chordata; Mammalia; Primates; Hominidae
Description: non-protein coding lnc-APPL2-4:1
Source: RNAcentral
AGAGCAUUUGCUCCACCGAUCUCUGCUGCUUGUGCCAGAUUAAAAAGUGCCUGGGAACUGAAAGAGGCAUCUUGGGCAGGAAGAAAAACCAGCUACUCUUUGUGGGGAAAAGCAAGAGAGAUCAGAUUGUUACUGUGUCUGUAUAGAAAGAAGUAGACAUAGGAGACUCCAUUUUGUUCUGUACUAAGAAAAAUUCUUCUGCCUUGAGAUUCUGUUAAUCUAUGACCUUACCCCCAACCCCGUGCUCUCUGGAACAUGUGCUGUGUCAAACUCAGGGUUAAAUGGAUUAAGGGCGGUGCAAGAUGUGCUUUGUUAAACAAAUGCUUGAAGGCAGCAUGCUCCUUAAGAGUCAUCACCACUCCCUAAUCUCAAGUACCCAGGGACACAAAAACUGCGAAGGCCGCAGGGACCUCUGCCUAGGAAAGCCAGGUAUUGUCCAAGGUUUCUCCCCAUGUGAUAGUCUGAAAUAUGGCCUCGUGGGAAGGGAAAGACCUGACCGUCCCCCAGCCCGGCACCCAUAAAGGGUCUGUGCUGAGGAGGAUUAGUAUAAGAGGAAGGCAUGCCUCUUGCAGUUGAGACAAGAGGAAGGCAUCUGUCUCCUACCCGUCCCUGGGCAAUGGAAUGUCUUGGUAUAAAACCCGAUUGUACGUUCCAUCUACUGAGACAGGGGAAAAACCGCCUUAGGGCUGGAGGUGGGACCUGCGGGCAGCAAUACUGCUUUGUAAAGCAUUGAGAUGUUUAUGUGUAUGCAUAUCUAAAAGCACAGCACUUGAUUCUUUACCUUGUCUAUGAUGCAAAGACCUUUGUUCACGUGUUUGUCUGCUGACCCUCUCCCCACUAUUGUCUUGUGACCCUGACACAUCCCCCUCUCGGAGAAACACCCACGAAUGAUCAAUAAAUACUAAGGGAACUCAGAGGCUGGCAGGAUCCUCCAUAUGCUCAACGCUGGUUCCCUGGGUCCCCUUAUUUCUUUCUCUAUACUUUGUCUCUGUGUCUUUUUCUUUUCCAAGUCUCUCGUUCCACCUUACGAGAAACACCCACAGGUGUGGAGGGGCAACCCACCCCUUCACUCUUUAUCUCCAACACUGGCUAUUCCCAACUGACCUGGGAGUUUUAGGAAAGCCUACCUGGUGUAUCUGUUUCUUUAUGCCUACAGAGAAAGAUCAUCUGGUUAUUUUUCUAGAAAAAAAAAAGGCAUGGUGGGGGGACGGUGGGCUAGAGUAAAGGACCUUAUUUCUAGCAGCAUUCCCCUCCAUAUAACUACAUAAUUUCAGCCUUGAGAUUCUAUUUUAUCAAAUGUCCCCAAAGACAUAUUCCAGAGAAAUAGGAUUGUUUAAAGUGGGCCCUCCUGGCCUUCCACAAUCGGCUAUUCUCCCAGGACAUUACCCAUGGCCCUUUUUCCCUCCCAGCAAUAUCUGUUCUCCUAAUCUCACUAAGAAAUCCAGGCCAGCUGGUGAUUUCAGGCUCC